RNAcentral lists this ribosomal RNA (342 nucleotides) under uncultured Desulfovibrio sp. RNAcentral describes it as "bacterial SSU rRNA". It matches the Rfam family "Bacterial small subunit ribosomal RNA", at positions 1039 to 1382 of the family's 1533-position model. Lineage: Bacteria; Pseudomonadati; Thermodesulfobacteriota; Desulfovibrionia; Desulfovibrionales; Desulfovibrionaceae. The record is from RNAcentral.
UGCUGCGAUGGCUGUCGUCAGCUCGUGUCGUGAGAGUGUUGGGUUAAGUCCCGCAACGAGCGCAACCCUUGUCUUAAUUGCCAUCAUUUAGUUGGGCACUUUAAAGAGACUGCCGGUGUUAAGCCGGAGGAAGGUGGGGAUGACGUCAAGUCCUCAUGGCCUUUAUGUCUAGGGCUACACACGUACUACAAUGGCCGGUCAAAGGGCAGCCACUCAGCGAUGAGGCGCUAAUCCCAUAAAGCCGGUCUCAGUCCGGAUCGCAGUCUGCAACUCGACUGCGUGAAGUUGGAAUCGCUAGUAAUCGUAGAUCAGCAUGCUACGGUGAAUACGUUCCCGGGCCUU